GGUCCCAUAGCUCAGCUGGAUAGAGCACUUCCCUCCUAAGGAAGGGGUCGCGCGUUCGAAUCGCGCUGGGGCCA
RNAcentral lists this transfer RNA (74 nucleotides) under Candidatus Aphodenecus pullistercoris. RNAcentral describes it as "tRNA-Arg". It matches the Rfam family "tRNA". From Rfam's summary of the family: Transfer RNA (tRNA) molecules are approximately 80 nucleotides in length. Their secondary structure includes four short double-helical elements and three loops (D, anti-codon, and T loops). The record is from RNAcentral. Lineage: Bacteria; Pseudomonadati; Spirochaetota; Spirochaetia; Spirochaetales.